Molecule: ribosomal RNA, 253 nt
Filed under: uncultured bacterium
Lineage: Bacteria
Description: partial 16S ribosomal RNA
Rfam family: Bacterial small subunit ribosomal RNA
Source: RNAcentral
UACGAAGGUUCCAAGCGUUGUUCGGAAUAACUGGGCGUAAAGAGUGCGUAGGCGGCGCGUAAAGUCAGAUGUGAAAUCCCGGGGCUCAACCUUGGAACGGCAUCCGAUACUCACGCGCUUGAGGACUGGAGGGGAGUCUGGAAUUCACGGUGUAGCAGUGAAAUGCGUAGAUAUCGUGAGGAACACUAGUGGCGAAGGCGAGACUCUGGACAGUUCCUGACGCUGAGGCACGAAGGCUAGGGGAGCGAAGGGG